RNAcentral lists this ribosomal RNA (1021 nucleotides) under Monothalamids sp. RNAcentral's name for it is "SSU rRNA". The stretch from base 22 to 597 matches the Rfam family "Eukaryotic small subunit ribosomal RNA", at positions 1178 to 1501 of the family's 1831-position model. The record is from RNAcentral. Lineage: Eukaryota; Foraminifera.
AAGGGCACCACAAGAACGCGUGGAGCAUGUGGCUUAAUUUGACUCAACGCGGGAAAUCUUACCGGGUCCGGACACACUGAGGAUUGACAGGUUCUUGCAGUUCAGUUUACUGAACUGCUUUAAAUAUGCUAGUCCUUUCAUGAUCGUGUGAUAGGUGGUGCAUGGCCGUUCUUAGUUCGUGGAGUGAUCUGUCUGCUUAAUUGCGUUUCAAACAGGACAUUGGGCAACAAGUUGUGAUUCGAGAUUAGCCCUUUCAUUUAUUUGAGAGUUGUGCGCUCGUUUCACACAGCCUAUUUCUGUCCUCAACGCAACGAACGUGACCGCAGCCUCUUGUUGCCUCUCCAUUCAAAAGAGUGUUAGUUGUAGUAUCUUUGGCUGAUGUAUGCUUUGUUGGCAGUGGUGUGCUCAUAGCCUUCGGGUUGUGUUUACAUUGUUGUUGACAUGUGUGUGUGUUAGUUAAAAGGUAUUCGCUAAUAGCUAGCAUUCUUAGUAGAGGCAAACUAGAGGGACCGCUGACAUAUUUAUAUAACCAGAGGAAGGAUGCGGCAAUAACAGGUCUGUGAUGCCCUUAGAUGUUCCGGGCCGCACACGUGCUACAAUGAUCAUUGCAGUGAGCAUCUUACACAGUUUGUGGGAUAUUUUUUACGUUGCAUUUAUUGUAUGAAUUAACCUUUUGAUGUUGUGUUUUUAAUGUAAUUUUGUGUGACAAUGGGUGAAGCUCUCGGGUGGAGUCUGUUGUUUGCACAUUUUUAUGUUGGAUUCAUACGUUAUUUGGUUGUUUGUGCAUGGUGUUUUGUAAGGUAUCCAUUAUCACAACACGCCCACUUCGAAAGUAAGUGGGGAAUCAAUUCGAAGUAAUGAUUUCCACGCGCACAUUUAACCAAUGCAUGAUUUGAAGGCUUUAUGUUUUCUUAUUGUGCUGUGCUUCCAUAAAUUCAUGGUGGGGACAGACCCUUGUUAAUUGUUGGUCUCGGUCUCAACUAGGAAUGCCUUGUACGGGUCUUGGUUCAACAAACCACCG